GACGAACGCUGGCGGCGUGCUUAACACAUGCAAGUCGAACGGAAAGGCCCUGCUUUUGUGGGGUGCUCGAGUGGCGAAAGGGUGAGUAACACGUGAGUAACCUGCCCUUGACUUUGGGAUAACUUCAGGAAACUGGGGAUAAUACCGGAUAGGAGCUCCUGCUGCAUGGUGGGGGUUGGAAAGUUUCGGCGGUUGGGGAUGGACUCGCGGCUUAUCAGCUUGUUGGUGGGGUAGUGGCUUACCAAGGCUUUGACGGGUAGCCGGCCUGAGAGGGUGACCGGCCACAUUGGGACUGGGAUACGGCCCAGACUCCUACGGGAGGCAGCAGUGGGGAAUAUUGCACAAUGGGCGGAAGCCUGAUGCAGCAACGCCGCGUGCGGGAUGACGGCCUUCGGGUUGUAAACCGCUUUCGCCUGUGACGAAGCGUGAGUGACGGUAAUGGGUAAAGAAGCACCGGCUAACUACGUG
This 468-nucleotide ribosomal RNA is filed under the name uncultured bacterium. RNAcentral describes it as "partial 16S ribosomal RNA". It matches the Rfam family "Bacterial small subunit ribosomal RNA", at positions 28 to 507 of the family's 1533-position model. The record is from RNAcentral.